RNAcentral lists this ribosomal RNA (433 nucleotides) under uncultured bacterium. Its description in RNAcentral is "partial 16S ribosomal RNA". It matches the Rfam family "Bacterial small subunit ribosomal RNA", at positions 29 to 507 of the family's 1533-position model. The record is from RNAcentral.
AACGAACGCUGGCGGCAUGCCUAACACAUGCAAGUCGAACGAUGCCUCCGGGCAUAGUGGCGCACGGGUGCGUCACGCGUGGGAAUCUGCCCUUGGGUUCGGAAUAACUCGCCGAAAGGCGUGCUAAUACCGGAUGAUGACGUAAGUCCAAAGAUUUAUCGCCCCAGGAUGAGCCCGCGUAGGAUUAGCUUGUUGGUGGGGUAAUGGCCCGCCAAGGCGACGAUCCUUAGCUGGUCUGAGAGAAUGAUAAGCCACACUGGGACUGAGACACGGCCGAGACUCCUACGGGAGGGAGCAGUGGGGAAUAUAGGAAAAUGGGGGAAAGCCUGAUGAAGCAAUGCCGCGUGAGUGAUGAAGGCCUUAGGGUAGAAAAGCGCUUUUACCCGGGAAGAUAAUGACAGUACCGGGAGAAUAAGCUCCGGCUAACUCCGUG